GCAGCGCGCGCCUGCCGACCGGGCACGCGCGUCCCGGCACGGGCCUGCGUCCCUGUGUCCGUGCAUCCCACGCACGCGGCCCCUCUCCUUGGGCACGAGCGCUCCGUGCACGUGCAGCCCCUGUGUGCAGCCCCCUCUCCCUUCGUGCAUGCAUCCCUUGCACGCGCGGCCCGCUCCCCCCGUGCACGCGCACCCCCUGCACGCAGCCCCCUUGCCCUGUGUGCACGUUAGCCCCUUUUCCCUGUGCACACGCGUCCUGCGCACGCGCACCCCGUGCACGCAGCCCCCUUGCCCCGUGUGCACGUUAGCCCCUUUUCCCCGUGCACACGCGUCCUGUGCAUGCGCACCCCGUGCACGCAGCCCCCUUGCCCUGUGCGCAUGCAUCCUGUGCGCAUGCAGCCCUCUCUCCCCAUGCACAUGCAGCUCUCUUGCUGUGUGCGCACGUCCUGUGCGCUCACACCUCGUGCAUGCAGCCCCGUUUCCCUGUGCCUCGUGCACCUCGUGCACCUUUCCCCGUGCACACGGCUGCAUCCCAGGGCCAAGCMCCCCCUGUUUGCACCCUGAGCACGUCACGGGUGGGCCUCCCUUGCACUGAAUCGGGCCCUUGCACGUGCACCGUGACACUGUCACGGCAGCCCCUGGGGGAACUGCGGCCGCCUCCCGCCGGGGUGCCCGGGACCAGGGGACGCGGGGACGGUCCCGGGGGUUUUCGGAGGUGCGGGGACAAGGGAGAGCGUCCCGCCCUGCGCCGAGCCCUCCCGUCUCUGCAGCCGGCAGAUAAAGCCCAGACAAUGUUGGUGCGGGCGAUAGCCGCAACGGCUGCCGGGCUGCCACCGCCGUCCCCUCCGCGUCCCCAUCACCGGAGGGGGGGGGGUCCAGUGGGCGCCCCCGGCGCUGACGCCCGGCUCCCUGCCCUGCCGCAGGUGGGUGCGCGAGUUCCUCAACGACGAGAACAAGGGCCUGGACGUGCUGGUGAACUACCUGUCCUUCGCCCAGUGCGCCGUCAUGGCCUGGAAGGCGGCGAGGACGGCGCGCUAGAGAAGCCGAAGCCCUGGAGCAGAUCCAUUGAGGAUCUGCAGCACCCCAGCGCCCUGCCUGCCCCCUUCGCCAGCAGCCUGGCC
This 1121-nucleotide long non-coding RNA is filed under the name Apteryx haastii (Great spotted kiwi). RNAcentral's name for it is "lncRNA (ENSAHAG00000008976.1)". Lineage: Eukaryota; Metazoa; Chordata; Aves; Apterygiformes; Apterygidae. The record is from RNAcentral.